RNAcentral lists this long non-coding RNA (4743 nucleotides) under Sus scrofa (pig). Its description in RNAcentral is "lncRNA (ENSSSCG00000062310.1)". The record is from RNAcentral. Lineage: Eukaryota; Metazoa; Chordata; Mammalia; Artiodactyla; Suidae.
CCAUAAGACUGGCAAGCUAGUAGCUAGCUGUCACCAUGUCAGCACCAGCCAUGCAUGCCCUGGUAUAAUGUCAAGUUUAGGGGACUUGAUUUCAAGUAUAUUUGUUGACCAAGAAUCUUGGGCUAUAUCUAGUUUCCAUUGAAAUUUCAAGGAAUUGAAGUUCAUUUUCUGGAGACCAUCUUGUAGGCAGCCCUAGUCAAGUUAUUUCUUAACACUAAAUUCACCUCCCAAAGCUAGCCCUAACCAUAUUGCAUACUUCAUUAUGUUAACAAUUGUACCACUUUAACUUGUGUUCAUUUUAAAUGAGAGUGCAACCAUUGAUGUCAUUAUGGGAGGCUCUGAAAGUAGGUCAGAAUUGAUCAGGUGACUAAUCCCAGGAUACAAAUCAUGUUUACCCAAAGCAGAGAGGGUACUGCCAUUUGUAAGAAUAGCCUAGGAGGAGUACAUUGUCAAGUUCAGAGGAAUUAAGAAGAUUGCAUCCUUGGCUCAGGCUCAGAGAUUACACAAAAGUCAACCAGGGCUUCCAAGGCCUUUCCCAUGACUGAGGGAAUCUGUGUCAUCUUGAAGGGAGGAAUAGUUGUAUUGUAUAUUACGUAGCCUCUUGAGGAGCCAUUAUUGGUUGUCAUUUUCAUUGGCCCGUACUGGUGAUACAUCUUUUCAAAGUCUGGCAAGAGGAAUGGGAUCAGGUUAGUUCAUUAGAAGACACUAACUGGCUGCCAUCUCUCUCUUUCUCUCUAUCACUUCUGUACUAGCUGGCAAGUCCAUCUUCAUAACAUGCUGCCUAGGAGGCUCAUCACUGUGGGGGGAGCACAAUCUUAGGUUUUCUGGUGUUACAUUACUACAUUACCAAACUGAAUAGGAAACAGAAUUGUCAUUCCAGUACAUGACUUGUAUGUGGAGGCAUCUACAGUUAGACAGACUGUCUCUGCAUCAACCUCUGAGUCACUCAAUGACUCUGGAGUGUCAAGGAAGUGGUCAGCUAGUGUCCCUUCCAAGAUUCUAUUCGGGAGCCCUCUUUAACCCUCCCUGUCUUACAGAUGGUCUUCAUAGUUUCUUAAUAUCUCCUCUAUCUUAUACCAACUAGUCAGUUCUUCAGUGAGCAACUGGCAUUCAUCUACAUUGCCUAGGUGUGUGCAUGCAUGUGUGAAUACCUGCAGUUUAUUAAGAGACAUGGUUCAGUAACUCCCUCAAUGGUGCUUAGUCCUUUCUGAGUGACUUUUCUAAGGCUCUUAUUUACAACUUAGGAAUUAAAUACUGGUUUUUUUAUUUUCUGAAAAUCUCCCAUUUCACAGGACUUCGUGGACUAGUUUUUAUGAAGAGUGACCUGCCAUCCAAAUAGCCAGCCAUGCUGCCCGCAGUAAACACCCCCAAGACUUAUCCUAUCUAUGAUGUGGGACUUUAAUAUCUAAUCAUUUUAUUUACACUAGAAGUCUAUGGUGGGUUUUGUGUCAGAUGCUGAGUAACAGUUGUCAUGGAAAUAAGAGCAAAUAGCCAAGGUGCACUCCCACAAAGCCUACAGUAGCAGUGUCAUUGGGAGUCAUGAAAAGUAGGAGAUAUGUGAGCCCUUAUUGCCUGUUACAUGCUAAGGCUGAGCACAGAGAUCAAACAAGACUGAGAAUCAGACUCUGGGCCAGACCCUACCCCUUGGUCUGUGGAACUUUUAAAUUAUAUGACAACAACAUGAAAAAAAAGCAUAAGUGCAUGUUGGAGUGAUGAGGGGCCAGCAUAUAUUAAACAUAUAGCUUGGUAAAAUCAUGUCUUUAGCCAUCUCCUGCCAGUUCCUGCCAGCUCAACUUCUGUGGUUGUGGGUGAGAAACAGCCCCUCCUCUACACAAUCAAGGGAUCAGUCCCAAGCCUUGUAGUUGCAGUCAUAUGGCAUGGCAGCUGGCAGCAGAUAUCAUCACAUCAGUAUCCGUCGUUGAGGAAACACCAGUCUUAUUUUUCAGUAUUGUCAGAGGUGGACCAAAGUCCAGAUCAUCAUUGAUUUGCCCAAGAACUGGACAAUGCCUAGUUUCUAUGGAUCUUGAGAGGGCCACCUUGCAAGAUCAGUCUAGAAUAAAUUAACCUUUAUCUCUCAGAAGGCUUAAGGAACAAGUUGAAAAUUGUCUUCAGAGUUUAACCAAGUUACUGAAAUUAAUGAAGUAAAAUACAUUAAGAGAUGGUAAGUCAUAUGGUGACCUACACAGGAACCAUUCAAAUGAGGAAGUCAUUGCCAGCAACAGCCAUUAUAGCCCUGUGGGAGUGUGGACCUAGUGUUGUCAAAUCUUCCUUUUAUCAAGAAAAUAAUAAAAAUGACUAAUAUGAAGUUUGAUAUAAAGUGUAGUUUUUACAACAAAAUCCUUCUUCAGACUGGCUUGAGUUCUUAGAUCACUAGUUAGCAAACCUCAAUAGCAAAUAGCUUGUUAUAAAGUUCUGAAGCACCUAAACAAAGGAAAAAAUAAGGAGAAUGCAGGCCAAGGCCUGUUUUAGGUCCUCCAAACCUCUGUUCUUUAAUGUAUUGCUUAGGAAAGCACUCUGUGAUUCAUUCUAUUUGAGUAGCCCCUUUUUAAGCCUAAUCAGCUCCGACUAACCCUGUAAAUCUGUCUUUUUCUUUGAGAAACAGGCUUUAUAUCUUCUUGGAAGACUCGGUACAUUUUAUUGCUGCCAAGAUUCCCUAUGAUAUUUCAAAUAUAUUAUUUGCUGCCUUCUUGUUGUUUUUGCAGGUUUGUUUAUGCUACCAUAAACAUGAAUGUGGGACAAAAGAACUUGUUUAGAUAAAGUUCAGCCCUCUAAAGCUAAAUAUGGAGUAUUAUUACAAAGUACUGUAAAUAAUGUCAUUUCAUCCUUGAGAUGUAAGAAAGGGGUGUGGUGCUGGGCAUGCUUGAGUGACAGCUCAAUCUCUUUUCAUCAGUUUAUCAGUUUCUUGUGGGUUAUCUCAGGGGCAAAGUGAAAUGAUUAUGGAGAAGAAAUAGGUCUCAAAAUUUAGCUAGGGUUUUUGGGAUAUGUAGUUACUUGCAUAAUCAUCAACAAUAUUUUUAAUUUUAAUUGUCAGCUAUGCUAAAUAAAGGAGAAUGCAAGAUAAAAAUAGACACAAAAGAACAAAAAAGUACAAGAUCCUUUAAAGAAAGCAUGUAGUCAAAAAAAAUGAGUAAAAUCAGAUGGAGAUAGGAAUUCAGGGAUCAUUACUUUGAGGCGGGAGGUGUUAUAAAUUCAAGGAUCAUUACCUUGACAUAGGGAAAGGGAGGAAGAAAGAGUUGAGGAAAAGAAAACAAGUGAGGUUGUCUACACUAAGACACUGGCAAACUGUUUGGGCAAAAGUUUGCAAUCUGCAAGAUUGCAAAAACAUCCAUUUCAGAGGUGGGAAAAAGUUUUGGGUGGGUAGGCUUAUACUGGAAUGUAUGGUCUUCUCUUCCUGGGCUCUUAGCCAGAGAAAGUUAAAUUAUUUAAUUGUUCAACUCAUUAGCAAGAAUUUCUUGAGGUCUUAUAAGUUCCAAGCACAAUGCCUGGCAUUCAAUGUUAAAAAAUAAAACAAGCCAACCAAAAGUAUAGGGUAUAGUCUCUGUCUCUAAAAGUUUGCAAGCUACUUGUAUGUAGUUGUCUACUAAUAAGAUGCAGCAAAUUAGUAUAAAUCACACAUGCAAGAGAGGAAAAGGUUACCUAUGGCUUUUACCCUUAGUCAGCAUUACUGUAUUUAGAAAUCUUGUUAGCUAUAGCGAGAUGUAUGCAUGUGGAUAGGAUGGUGGCGGGCAGUGGCAGUGAAGGUGGUAGCAUUUGGGGUGAGGGACAUUUAAAUUUAAAUUAGGAAAAUUGCAAAGAUCAUAGAGAAGGAGAUUUGUGGGUUUAUGUUGUUUCUGUCUGCUAGAAUUGAAGUCUCUAAAGUCUGUCUUUUCUUUCCAAAACAAUGGGUGAACAGUUAUGCUUGCAAAUCAUGGAGCAAGUCAGAGAGAGGAGGGGGACCAGUUGUGUCUAAAUAUGCAGUCCACUCACAAAGACAGGUACACAUGAUGCUCUAGGGUGACCAAGUGUGCCAGUAAGAGGAGAAGUGGGAGAUGGUGUGAUCUGGGUGAUGGUGACCUUGUGAUUGUGAGACCAGGACAAAGCAUAUAAGAUGACCUGAGCUCUGCCAUUAGGGGGCAGAUAGUAGAAGAAAAGAAACUUCUUGGCUGGUAGAUACAGAACCUGCCAAGGGAACAAAUGAAGAGGGAAAAGGAAGUAUCACACUUCCUCACUAAAUGGCUAUCAGGAAGCAAAAAUUUGGAGAGGAGAAAUCAGAAAUACCAUGCAUAUGACUCAGAGAGGAGGAAAAAAGAGCCAGCAAUGAGAGUAGAGCUAAAGACAAAAAAAAAAAAUUUCUCAUUAGAAUGGAAAACUUUUGGCAUAAGAUGGCUAGAAGGGAGGAGAGUCAAAGGGAUGCUGUCUUAUGAAUAGGGAGGAACAGGGACACUGCACAGGCAGACAGAGCAAGGCCUGUGAGACUGCUGGGUGGAAGUGGUGGACCAAGAUGAAACAACAUCCAGCGGAGAAAGUGAAAGAAGACAGAGGAUAGAGGACCUGACUCUCUGGUUCUCCUCCUUUCCCAUAUCUCUUCCUUAAUUAAUUCCUUUGUGAUGCAUAUCCCUACCUUCUAACAUCCUGCAUUUCUUUUUCUCUUGAAGAGUUUGUAGAGUCCUUUGGGAAUUGGGUAUAUUUAGAGUCAGAGUUGAUGUUCACAAUAUUUGCAUAGGUUGCUCAUACAAUCUAGUAUUGUCUUAUUUGAAUUGGAUU